GAUGAACGCUAGCUACAGGCUUAACACAUGCAAGUCGAGGGGCAGCGGGAUUGAAGCUUGCUUCAAUUGCCGGCGACCGGCGCACGGGUGAGUAACGCGUAUCCAACCUUCCGUACACUCAGGGAUAGCCUUUCGAAAGAAAGAUUAAUACCUGAUGGUAUGAUGAGAUUGCAUGAUAGCAUCAUUAAAGAUUUAUCGGUGUACGAUGGGGAUGCGUUCCAUUAGAUAGUAGGCGGGUAACGGCCCACCUAGUCUUCGAUGGAUAGGGGUUCUGAGAGGGAGGUCCCCCACAUUGGAACUGAGACACGGUCCAAACUCCUACGGGAGGCAGCAGUGAGGAAUAUUGGUCAAUGGGCGAGAGCCUGAACCAGCCAAGUAGCGUGAAGGAUGACUGCCCUAUGGGUUGUAAACUUCUUUAUAAAGGAAUAAAGUCGGGUAUGGAUACCCGUUUGCAUGUACUUUAUGAAUAAGGAUCGGCU
This 479-nucleotide ribosomal RNA is filed under the name uncultured bacterium. Its description in RNAcentral is "bacterial SSU rRNA". It matches the Rfam family "Bacterial small subunit ribosomal RNA", at positions 28 to 498 of the family's 1533-position model. The record is from RNAcentral.